AAUAAAGCCACAGCCUGACCUGCUGCUGCGUAUGCCUUGCCAUUUAAGCAAGAUGCAUUGCUUGAAGGGGCUUAGAUGGCAAGGAGGGAGAUUAAGAGAGGAUGUCUCCCCCGCAGAAUGAAAGCUCUUUCUGCAGGGGGCAUCCUCUCAUAGCCGUUUUCGCGCAUCGCCUCGAUGUCGGCAAAACUCUUAUGCUGAAACCGAUGGAUGCGAGAAGAAAACGGCCUCUUUCAUUUCCUUUCGAUCUCUGAAGGAGAAUUGAGAAGGCUCAGCCUCAGCUUCUUCACCAUCCUCAAAUAUCUCCUGCUUUUCCUGGGUAAAAACCCAGCAGAGCACUAACCUCAGUAUCAGAAAGUGUUAAAGAUAUAACAUCAUCCUCCCGAGGCUCUCUCUCGUCCGCCGCCAUUAUGAGCGUGAAAGGGAAAGUCCCUCUUUAAACCAUUCAGACAGAUCCACCUGAAAUUCUCAUGAGCUCAUUCUCCUCCGUGCCUCAGUAGCGGCGGGUCCUGAACCGCGGGAAGCAGAUGGCUGCCUCUUUUUUUUUUUUUUUCGGAAAGAGAGACGAAUGAGAGCGGAGAUUUU
Molecule: long non-coding RNA, 582 nt
Organism: Cyprinus carpio (common carp)
Lineage: Eukaryota; Metazoa; Chordata; Actinopteri; Cypriniformes; Cyprinidae
Source: Ensembl